CCGUGCCGCUGCGGCUCUCGGGGCUCUGCCAUCCCACAGCUGAACAAUCCCAGAGGAGGAGAUGGGGAACGGACUGCAGCACAAGUCCCGAGAGGAGUACCUGAAGGAGCUGGGGGUGUUUAGCCCUCUUAGAAAAGGAGGCUCAGGGGUGACCUUAUCACUCCCUACAACUGCCUGAAAGGAGUCUUUGGCCAGGUCUGCCUCUCCAAAGGAGAACAAGGUCAUGACACAAAUAAAGCUCUGCAGGACCCUGGAACAUGGGUGACUGUUGUCUGCAUCAGUCUUUCUCUUCACUCCAAAGGAGGAAGAUUCAGUAAUGGCACAUAUGAAUUGGCAAGAGGAAUUAUAAAGUCUCAAAGCAAAUGAAGCCUAGAAGAUACUUCCAGUAAUACUCUUCCCGAAUGACUGGAAGCUACCAUCCAAGAUUAUAACAACACACAGCAUGGCUUCUGAAUCCUUUAAGCACAGGGAAGUGGCAACAAGAAUUGGGAUAAAGUGAGAUAUAACAGUGGGAUUCUGCUUGUUUAAAUCCUUUGUCUUACAGAAUUCCAUCAGAGGAAUAGAAUUAAAAUUUGGCCCCUUAGACCAGAACAGACACCUGGAAGGGGUCAGCAAGAGGAUUUUAUAAAGUCUCAGAAGGUCAAGAUUGAUUUGCAAUAAAUGGAAAAGACACAAUAUUGAAUUCUGCUGUAGUGGAGAAGUGACAAUGCUCAACAAGUGUAUUUGAGAGUUUCAUUCCUUAGAACUGACUGAAAGCAGGGAAAGAGCUGGAAUUGGCUUUAGGACAUUUCAGUGGAAGAGGAUGACUGGAAAAAGUCAGGUCUGUGGAAAGAGGUGGGAUUAUAGAAAAAUGAAGCCCCAGGAGAUCUUGCAAAACAGGUUACAAACUCACUAUUGUUUACUUUGGUGGUGCCUGAAGGUUAAACUUCCCAAUUCCCAGUGGAAUUGGUGAGAAAAGCCUCCACAGAUUUCAGCUGAUUUCCAUGAAUAACAACUGAAUGGCUUGUUAGCAAGAUCUGUUUUCUCUUGGGUAUCUGGAAGAAGGUCAAGGAAGUCUCUAAUGUCCACUGCUACCUUUUACAGAGCUUUUUGGAUUCUGGUGGUAGUUGUACACUUGUACCUUUAAGAUACCUCAGUGAGUUACUAAAACUUAAAACAAUAUAUAAAUGGUUUGUGUUCUUCUUUAUUCCUCCUUGUAGAAUAAAACUUCUGAGAAAUGUUUCUUUCCCUCCCAAACAAUGAAAAAUAGUAAAGUAAGAUGCACAGAAUCCUUUGGAGAAAAAUAUGGGUUAGCAAGAACAAGACAUUUUUGACUGGACCAGCUGAACAGAAAUAAUCUAUUUUAAAAAUUUAAUUCUGCUUAUUGGGCUGUAUAAAAUUAGGUGUAGAAAACAGCUAAAGGCAAAGUCUGUUUUAACUCCCUAGUAUAUUAACUAAGAAAUUUAAUCAUUUUAAGGGUGUAAAAGCUAUCUAAGCAUUUGUCCAUUAAAAGUAUGGAGUAAGGGCCAUUGCCAUUUAACAAAGGACCAAGUGCUCCUGUGCCCUGGAGAACAGAAGACAAUCACUGACAGGAAAGGAUUCAGUUCAGAGAGAGAUUAUGUGCUCUUCUGUCUUGCUUUUUUUCCUGGGAAGAGGUACCAAGUGAACAGAGAUGAUAGCUGACAAUUACAGUAAAUGUGAACUUGCACUUAGUACAAGCAAGAUUAGGUCUGUAUUAACUGCUUUUUUUCUGAGAUAACCACGAUUAGUUACUGUAUUUAAAACUACACAAUUAAUGCAUUAUAAAACUUUGUAUUUUCCAACUAAAGGAAUUAAAAGGGACAACGGAGGUGCCAAAUAUUUCAUUUUAAAUAUCAGUAAGGAACCCUGAAGGAGCUAUCCUGUUCACAGGCAGAAGAAAGUUGCUGUGAAUCAGGGUAUCUCUCAGCAUUCCUCAUUACUGCCACUCACUUCUCAGGCUCUACUAACCAGCUUUGGGAUUGGGGAAGAAAUGUGUGACUAGAUUUCUGCUAGGAUAAGACUGCCUGCUGACAGACUUUGUGCAAAGGUCUGUAUUGUUAAAUAUGCAUUAAGUUUUGAAGAGACUCAGGAAUGGAACUAAUUCCCUAUACCUUAUAGUAAAAUGUAAUUACAGACUAAGAAUAGGCAGAAUGCUCAUUUUAUAGUCUCCUUAUUUUAUACAAACUCUAAAUGACUGACUAGAAUUCCAUGUUAUUAUUUACAGGAAACUGCAAGUAUAUAGUUAAGAGAGAUAAUCACAGGGUUAUAGCAACUAUGCUAAUGGUAAUCUUGGGUAAAACACAAUUCUUUGUUGUACAUUUUUCACAUAUGCGGUUUUACACAUUAGCAUACAGAGUCACUUAUCUCUCUCUUACUUUCACUGCAACAUUUUUUCCUAUUAAUGUCCAGCUAGUGGCUGAGGCUUAUUUUUUUUUAGUCUUUCUACAGUGUAGAUAUUAUUAAAAGUAAAUAUUUAAUCCUUUUGUCCCUUUGCUCCUUUUCAGUCCAAAGAAAUGCAAAAUUCAAUUUCAAUAUGAACUUUGCCCAAGAGAGGGCUGAAAGUUGAGUGUACAGUUGUUAAUUUUAAAUUGAACUCAAGUAAUUUCAUCCUGUAAAAGCUUUUCAUAAACAAAAUACAUUAAUAGUACUAUAGUAUGAUAAGUCCACGAAUAGGCACUUUUUGUAUUUUCUUUGCAAAAUAAUGUUCUACAAGUGAGUAAAACAAAAGCAAUAGCCUUGUAGAGGACAAUACAGUUAUAUUUACUUUACCAACAGCAACAAAUGGUAAAUCUGCUGAAAACUUCAUUUUUAUUCAAAUGUAACCCUUUGACAAACUUUACUUACUAAGUAUACCUGCUCUCUACUUGCUGUAUCCCUUUUAUAUCAGAUGCACUAUAAUGAUGCCCCAGCAGCCACUCACUAGCAAGUGAGAUAUAUGGUGCCACAGUAGGGCAGCUGGGAAGGUUUACCCCCUCCUUUAAGUCUGUCUCUGAUCCCUGAGUCAACAAGUUGUUCUUUGGUUUCAUCAGGAAUGUUAAAGAUAUGUUCACAUUAAACUCACUUUCUUCUUUGUCACUAGUGGUACACCUUCAUACUUACAAUUUUCUUGAUCCUCCUCAUUUGCUGUUUUUCCCCUGAAAGCUUCAUAUGACAUUUUGUAUAAGUUUCUGCACAUGUGUAUUAGAAGAUACCAUUUCUCAAAAAAAUAGUGAUAAUCUAAACAGGACUAUGAUGCUGGUACAUCUUCCUGCACUCUUUGAAAGUGGAAUAAAUGUCUGUGAUUUUCCAGAAAGAGAAAAAUUUGCCUUGGAAACAAGAACCAAAUUGGAUUUCUUACCUCCUGAGGCAGUGCCCUAACCAAAGUCCAGCCUUCUAAUGUCUUGGCAGCUGGAUUAUAAACCUAUCCUGUCAGUAACAAAACCAGUUAAUGAUAAUCAUCUGAUCAACACAAACAAUGCUGCAGACAUACUAAGGAACAGUCCUGUGUAUCCAAGCUUAGCUGCAUUAAGACAAGAGUAUGGAAAUAAAUACAACAGAGCAUACAUUCUUGGAAAUUCAUUUCCACUCAGGCAGUUUACUGUGUGAGUGGUGGGAACUUUGCAAUAACACUGCCCCUUUUUCUCACAUUCUUAUGUGUUUCCAGGAUGAGGGUCUAAAGAUAGCAUGUGAAUUCAGCCACUUCAGUGCAAUUCUUUCACCUAUCCUUCAUGCAAUUACAACUCUAAAGGAGAGGGAAAAUAAGACAAGGGUGUGAAUAUUCUGAGUCCAUCUUGAAUAAUUCUUAGUUAGGAAUAAACUUUGUCUUUUGAUCAUCCUUCACAUAGCCAGCCUUGAGGAUGGAAAAACCUGGCAAGAAGCUGUGCUGUGAAGAAAUGUAAGUGAUGACCCUGAGAUUGGCUCAGUUAUCUAGAGAAUAGUGCUAUUAACACCUAGGUUGUGGGUUCAAUCUGUGUUAUGGACUGUUUCAAUCCACGGCUUCUUAGUCCAGCUAAGAGUUGGACUUGAUGAUUCUUGUGGGUCUUUUCCCACACAGAAAAAUUCUGUGAAUCACAGUUUCAAAGAUGCUAAUGGUUCUCUUAGCCAAACGGUAUCUCAAAUCAGGAAAAUGGGUUGAAAUACGGUAAGGAUGUGUAGAAGCUCUUUAAGGGCUAAGUAUUUUGUGUUGUAACUAUAGAUUUCAGCUCUUGAAGCAAGUCCAAAGCAUGCUUUACAGGACUGUUUGACUCUAAUUAAACUAUUUUAGAUUUUCCCAUUGAGGGAGAGGCCAGAAGCCAAAGUAUAGGCUCUUUGCCUUUAACCCAUCUGAAGAAUAUGUGAGAAGGAGUACCUGUUGUAUUUUAUUUCUGGUUUAUGUCACCAUGAAGGAUGUGCAUAGAUCUGGAUCAUACAAGAUUUUUACAGUCCUGGCUAAACAACAAACUAUUUUUCUGUGUAACUAACAUGAAAUUUGAUUUCUUGCUUCUGUGUGGAUGGUUUAAGAAUAAAAUAGAGGUGAAUUUGUAAAUUCAUUAACAAGUAAUUAUGUUCAUACUUACUCAGAGAAUUAAAGCCAAAUAUUGUUUUUAUUCUGAACACAUAAAAAACCAUAAGUAAUGGUACUAAAUUAUCCAGAUACUGGGGGCCUCUUUCAAGUAAAGCUGUUUAUAUUGUGAGCAAAAAGCACUGUCUAUUUGUGCUUAGAGCAAAUGAUUCUUGUUAGUGUUGAUCACUAAUCCUUUUCACCCUGCUCAGCAGUUCAGCAUGCAUUAAUGCACUUUCUUAGAACUGAGCCGUAGGCAAAAGUAAUGUUUUUCACACCCUCACUGUUUUAAUGGCUGUCUUUCAGAAGACUAAGACAUACUACUGGAUACAAACAGGUAUUUGUAAAAAUCCCAAUAAAUUCUGUAGUAUAUAAAUAGACUUCCAAUUUAAACAUUUUAACCCAGAUCCUACCAAAUCCUGCCUGUAUUUCCUAAUAUCAUUUUGCUGCAGAUGGGCAAGUUCUGCUGUAUCUCUGCUGGGACAGUGGGCAGAAAGCACCCAAUAGAUUCAGUCUCUAGACAGGGAAGUGCCAAGAGGUUUCAUUGUACCACAUAAUCUGACUCACAAUUCUCAAGGAAGAGGAGCAGACAGAAGUCACAGUGUAGUCAGAUCUAACUUCACUUUUGAAAACUGUACAUUACUAUCUGAAUUAAUUUCCAAAUGUGAUUCUAUCUUUCUGCAUAUCUCACAUUCUUAUAGAAAAUUGUGUCUCGUGCUGAAAAACAAAGAAGAGGAACUGAAACCUAACAAUUGUGACUGUAGUGCAGUAAAUUUUUUAAACACUUGGGAAGAAAAUGCUGAAUUUCAGAUUUCCAGUACAUGUUUAUUUCAGCCUACAGCUGCCUAUAUAUUAUAAUGUGCUGUCCAAUUAUAUAACUCUACUGUAUAUUUUCCACUUGACUACUAUAUCAGUCAGAAUUAAAUCUUCCUUCUUCUUUACUUUUUAGCAAAGAAUUAUUGCUGCAUGUGGCCUUAUGUUUUUCUUACGUUUUGCACUCACUACUUGACAAAUUCUGAACACAGAAAUAUUUUCCUUUUUUUUUGUCACAUAAUCUGAAACUAGCUUAUUCACAGAUACUAUGUUUCUAAGAUUCUAUGAUUCUAUUAUACUAAUCAGUUCAUUUUCACAACAAUCCACUAAAAUGACAGAUUAUUAUUGCUUUCUUUCAUAAGCAGGAAAGAGGCACAGAAAGUUAAAGGUCAAAGAAUCUAUUGAUUUUGUGUACCUAAUAUAAACCAGAAGGCAUUCUGUAAUAUUUAAUAUCAAGUAGCUACUGGCCAGACCACUUUAAAUAUUUCCUGGAAGUACAGCUCCGACUGCCUAACACUGCUGUAGGUCUUGACAUUCCAUCUCAGACCUGCUGCAGUGGAACAAAGUGUGGGCUAAUGGAGCAGGUAUUUUCUGCUAGCCUUUCUCUCCACAUCUGGAGGCAAUAACUGCAGGCUUUUGUAUCCAGUAACACAAGGCAUCAGGCCAAUUUUUUCAAACAUGCAGGCAAUCAACUCCAUAUUAGUUGGUACAAAAGGCAGAGCUGACAUGUGGCAGCCUCAUAUGCCAGCUAGUUUGGAGAUGGAAAGACAACUCCUAAUGAACCGACCCACAUAGGAGAUGGGAACAUAAAGGGUAACAAGCUAUUGUAGGUGAGUGAUGGCAGCAACUACAUUAUGAAAAGCCCUAAUAGCUUUUUGUCUGCUCAAAUGGGACUGAAUUUUGCAAGUGCUCAUGCACCUGACAUGUAAUUGGUGUGUAGCAGGCGUGUUCUGUUACCACAUUACCUAGUUGUCUAAAUGCUUGCUUCACACUUAGAUGUGGACAAAAAUAAAUACACAUGUGAAAUCAAUGUGUGACAUUCAAUUUAAAUUAAAUUAAAUCAAUCAGGAAAUUAAAAUUAUUAUCAGAGUAUGUAAAGUGGCUUUAAAGACUAAAUAAAUUGAACUACUAAGAAAAAAAUAUUGACAUCACGAUUCUACAUAAUCAGAGCGUAGAACUGCAGCAGUAGAAUAACUAAAACACGCUUUUCCUGAUUGCAGAAUAAUUUAGUGUCUUUUUAUGGUAUCAACAGGAUGCAUUUUUGACUUUGGGAACAAUAGGAACAGGAAACUGUAUUUGAUUUCUCAAAAUAGCAGAGGCCUCUUGCACUAUUUAAGUACCUAAACUUAGGAUUCUGGUUUCCUAUGGUUCUAGACUAGACGUUAGAUUAAAGAAUUACUAGUUGUUUGUGCACUGGUCCCAAAUCUCUAUUGUGCUGCAGUCUCUGCGUGUUAGGCCUCACAAAAUUAUAGUUCAUAGAAUAACUCAUUGCUAUUGUUUGCUCACUCAUGGCUAACUGCUCUCUAUGGCUCGCUAUACAAAGGAAGAAUGAAGAAUGAUUUGGCAUCUGAUUUGGCCCUGACUCCUGUUCCUGAGCAGAAAAGGGGCCUGUCUCCAAACUACACAGAUUGAGGUGGGAGAACUAAAUGAAAAACGAUCUAAAACUAUAUCAAAGUAGGGAGGAACUAGAAAGCAUCCCUUCCUCCAAUAGGUCAUGUUCUUAACCCAAAAACAUUGUACAUUAAAAAAAAAAAAAAAAAAUUGCCAAAAAAAAUUUAACAUUGCACCAGUGGAAAAAAAAUGCCAUAGGCUGUGAACCACUGGUAUGUGAUUUAAUAGUCUGUCAUUGUUCUUAAUCCUGUUAUUGUUUUCUUUGCUAUUUGUUUCCACAGCAAAAUUCCAGCACUGGUAGAAAAUGAAUAGUGGUGAGACAGCUUGGAGUCUAUCUGAAACUGUCUGGUAGUUCUUUCUGUCCAGGAUUUUUGUUAGAAUAAGAUUUAAUCCUGCAGCCUUUACUUCACUGAUAUCCUCAGUGAAUGUUCUGGGAAUAGCAGUGAGAGUAGGGAGUUGACAAAUUGGACAGAUAACCACAAAUUAUUCAACAUCCAGCUGCCUUUAGCUACUAUCGCUCAGUACAGUUUGCUGAAUGACAGCUUGCUUGUACACUAAUAAACAAAUUUCCUUGUGUUUAGAACAUUUUGUUUUUCACUUUACAUCCACCUUCUUUAUUCAUCCGUCAGUCACUCUCUUUGUAAAACUGAGUAUAUUUUGAAUUGAUAACAAAAUGUCAACAAUUCUAAGUCCUUUGACUGCAUGUCAAAGCCACCUCGGUGGUUUUGUUCAUGAUUAGCUUUUCUUAAUUAUUUUCCUGUGGCUUUGUUUAUCCCUGCACAAAGAAGACCCUCUUCAAUUUAUAAGAGUCCAUAGUCUGCUAUCUGUAAGUAGCUUUAGCUGCCCCCAAAUUAUAUGGAAUAGCUAAAUAAACACUUAUGCCCAGUAAAUACAUGAAUAAUUUCUUAAAACUUCUCUCCAAGAAUAAGUAAUCACAUUCAAGUAUAGUUGUACAAAUUACCAAUUGCUAAUUUUUGACUACAGAACUAUCCCAGUAGCCUGCACAGACUUAAUUUACCUCCUUGGUACUGCAAAGAUUAAUAUGGAAGAAAGCUUCUACUGUGAAAAUAAAAUGGUUUCUAUAAUAUGCGAGUUAAAUCUGCCUUUAUAAAUAUUAUUGUUCUCUCAUGAUCUCACUACAAACAUUUUAUUUCUUGCAAAGCAUGCUAUGUAAACAUAAACCUUAGCAAAAUAAAGUUUAAUUAAGGAUCUUCUGACCUUCAGUAGAACAACAUACAAACAACAGAUUUUCACAGCAGUUCUGAUCUGUGUAAUAAAAAUAGCUAUAUUGACAAAUAUGUAUUGGGAGGAAAGUAGUAAUGGAAAGAAAGUGCUACCUUACCUACUAACCAGGUUUCUGGUCAUGUUAAAUAAAUGUUUACAUGUACAGAAACCUUCGCUUAGAGGGCAUGGCAAAGGCUGAGUGAGAUUCUGCCAGUAUUUUAUGAGAUACAAAGGCUUUUUUAGGAAGAAAAACAAAUCUCCAUUUUUUUCCAACAUAUGUGGCAUGAGGUCUUUGCAAAUAAGCAAAUUUGCAAAGCAGGCCAGAAAACAUUUUUAGAUUUUUUCAAAUUCUGUCAUGUAUAAAGAGAAGGGUAAAUAAGAGAGAGGAGAAAAAGAGCUCUAAAUUUCACUAACACUCUUUAAAGCAUUCAUGACUCACAUAUAUGGAAUAAUGUACCUAUCUAUGUAAAUCAAGGUUCAGAGUAAAUUAAUUGGUAAUCUUAAAAAAAAGUCUGGCCAAGUUCUAUCUUCUGAGAUGAACUUAUACCAGGAAAGAAAAUGUAAUUUCAGAAGCAGCAUGGAUGAUAGUGUUAAGAUUAAUGAUGUAAAUUCUGAACUGAUACACACUUAAGUGCAAGUCCAGUAAAGAUGAUACAGUUUAUAUGUAAGAUUUUGUUCCUCAUAGUUAAGUGAAACUAUCUACAGAAAAGGACUUCUAGCAGCAGAUUUUACCAUCUCUGCAGCCUUUCUGGCAUUUCCAAAGUCACAAAAUUAGGACAAUAUGAGACUAUUGUUCUAAUUCCAACACUAAAGGAAGUAACAGUUCUGAUAUAGAAGAACAUUUUGGUUGGCUUUCACCAUGUGAAGAAGCAAGGUGAGACAGUAUUUUUGCCAAUGAAUUACUUGCUUUCUUUCUAAGACUGGAAUUUCAUAUUUUCCACUAAGUCACCAUACAAAGACAAUAGCAUUGAGACACCAUCUGUUCCCUAUCAGUCACCCUAAAUUUGAGAUUUUGGGGUAAGUCUUCCACUCUUAUUUCUUACCCAAUCAGUCACCAGCUGUUCCUUGUCAGCUAAACAGUACUUAAUUCCCAGGGUACAUUGAUAUCAAACAGCAUAUUUAUGUCUUUCCAGAAAGGAAUUGUUCACUAACCACAGCAAACUCUUCCUGUAAAUCCUUCACAAAUGCCAGCAGUUUCUUUUUAAAGACUUUCUGGAUGAAGUACCUCUACCCUAGCAUCAGCAGCUAGAUCAAGGUCUGGUCACCUUCCAGACCAACAUGUUGAGACUCGGCCUCAAUGAGUUCUUGGCUGAGUUUUCAGGGAUUCUUUGAACACAGAACUUCUUAAAUCUCAAAAUUCAUUUAGAAAAUUCAAUUAUUUUCUGGUAAGCAAUUACUUUGACAAAUACAUCCAGAGGAUCAGUAUACCACAUACCUUCACUUUGUUCAUAGGAAAAAGAAACAAACAAACAUAAAAAAAAAAAACCAAAAGGAGAUAAUGGGUGUUUUGUGCAAAUUACAAGGUAGCAUGUUUUAUAUGUAAUGUGGGACAUAGACAGUACAUUAUUUUAAAGAGCAUAAAUUUUGCUACUUCCAGAUCUUCCUAGGUGAGAUUUCCAGUACUUGUAUUAUUUUUACAUGAAAACAUGCACAGCUGAAGAUGUCCCCAUGGAUAGGGGUUUCACAUCUUAAAUGUGCAUGUCAGCACUAGCUAUAAAAUUUUAACAGGUCCAAAAUAAAUACACAAGUCUUACUGUAUUUCAUUGAGUUAUUUCUAUCAAGUCUCAAGUAAAACCUUCAGUGUGGCAGAAGAGGAUGAAACCUGAAAAUUGGCAUAUUUCUUGGAACACUAGUUGAUUUUUAACUGAUGAAAGGACUGUUUCUAGAGCAAGAGUGCUUUGGAUCCUGACUUUCAAUAGCAAAACAGAGCUUUCGACCUCCUAAGGCACAUUAUUCUCUUGUAAUUGUUCAUUUCCUCUCUAGUGUUUUGUCUCCAAGAACUGAACAGAUUAUUAUCACUCUAAAAUGUUUCCUUUCUAUAGGGAUUCCUCAAGAAUUUGUGAGGCAGAGUUGCAUUUGCCUCUAGCACACAUACAAAUUUUUAAUAACAAGCCAUGUGAAUAACAAAGUAAAUUUGUGUAAAGAUUUGCAUGACACCACUUUAAAGUAACUUUUAUAGUAAUGUGAAAUUUUAAAAUCAUUAUUAUACAUAUUGUAUUUCAUUCCUUCACUGUUCUGUAAAGUUGUUGCUCCAACAGCAGCUGCUGUGGUCCUGUCAACCUUCAUCUGCUUCAUCUUCAUCCUUUAUCUGCUCAACAUGUCAAAAAAAAAAAAAA
Parus major (Great Tit) is the source of this 10503-nucleotide long non-coding RNA. RefSeq lists it as uncharacterized. NCBI's taxonomy places the organism in Eukaryota, Metazoa, Chordata, Aves, Passeriformes, Paridae. The record is from RefSeq and is a predicted model, not a curated record. The transcript is spliced from 3 exons.